Molecule: unclassified non-coding RNA, 343 nt
Filed under: soil metagenome
Description: partial contains 5.8S ribosomal RNA, internal transcribed spacer 2, and large subunit ribosomal RNA
Rfam family: 5.8S ribosomal RNA (bases 1-120)
Source: RNAcentral
GAUGAAGAACGUAGCGAAAUGCGAUAAGUAAUGUGAAUUGCAGAAUUCAGUGAAUCAUCGAAUCUUUGAACGCACAUUGCGCCCGCCAGUAUUCUGGCGGGCAUGCCUGUUCGAGCGUCAUUUCAACCCUCAGGCCCCGCCUGGCGUUGGGGAUCGGCGCGGCCCUCUCCGGGCUGCCGGCCCCGAAAACUAGUGGCGGUCUCGCUGUAGUCCUCCUCUGCGCAGUAGCAACGCUCGCACUGGAACUCGGCGCGGCCACGCCGUAAAACACCCCACUUCUGAAAGUUGACCUCGGAUCAGGCAGGAAUACCCGCUGAACUUAAGCAUAUCAAUAAGCGGAGGA